This 380-nucleotide ribosomal RNA is filed under the name uncultured eukaryote. RNAcentral describes it as "partial 18S ribosomal RNA". It matches the Rfam family "Eukaryotic small subunit ribosomal RNA", at positions 592 to 976 of the family's 1831-position model. The record is from RNAcentral.
CAAUAGCGUAUAUUAAAGUUGUUGCAGUUAAAAAGCUCGUAGUUGGAUUUGUGGCGUACGGUGUGUUCCGGGCACUUGUUGUCUGAGUAACCUGCUGUUGCCAUCCUUGGGUGGAACCUGUGUGGCAUUAGGUUGUCGUGCAGGGGAUGCCCAUCAUUUACUGUGAAAAAAUUAGAGUGUUCAAAGCAGGCUUAUGCCGUUGAAUAUAUUAGCAUGGAAUAAUGAGAUAGGACUUUUUUGCUAUUUUGUUGGUUUGCGCAAAGAGGUAAUGAUUAAUAGGGACAGUUGGGGGUAAUCGUAUUCCAUUGUCAGAGGUGAAAUUCUUGGAUUUUUGGAAGACGAACUACUGCGAAAGCAUUUACCAAGGAUGUUUUCAUUAA